AUUUUGGCAUUGUUCUUCGAGCAGCGUGCCUUUUGGUAGACACUAGCCGUAUGUGGCUAUUGAGCACUUAAAAUGUGGCUAGUGUAACUAAAGAACUGCAUUUUAAAUUUUAUUUAGUCUUAGUUAAUUUAAAAUUUAAAUAAAAUGGCAUUAUGUGGCUCAUGGCUUACUAUAUUGCACAGCAUGGAUCUUGAACAUCGUUUUCCACAUUAACUUUCCCUUUCUAACAUUUCGAGGAAACAGUUUUGUGAGACUGAAAUCUAAGUCAUUCUUCUCAAGCCUGGGUCUGUGGAAAGGCCUAUGCUGGCUGUUUACCUUUUUCCCUUAAAUAGUUUUUAAGGUCCCGAGACUAGAUGAGAUUACCAAGUCUUCUCUCUUACAGAGCAGUCAGUAAGGCAAGAAAACACAUCUUACAGAUCCAUACCAGGGACUGGAAUCCAAAAUUGUCAGAUGCAUUUUUAGGUGAAUUGGCUGAAAAAUGUGUUGGGACCUCCAUCUCCGAAGCAGCAUCCCUCAGCUUUUGAACCACAAAGACCUCGACAUCUUCUGGCUACUGUGGAGCCGAUAUCAAGGCCCUGUGCACUGAAGCCGCCCUGAUUGCACUGCGGAGGCGUUAUCCCCAGAUCUAUGCUAGCAGUCAUAAACUGCAGCUGGAUGUUUCCUCAAUAGUGCUUAGUGCCCAAGAUUUUUACCAUGCAAUGCAGAAUAUCGUGCCUGCUUCCCAGCGUGCUGUGAUGUCUUCAGGGCAUGCACUAUCCCCCAUCAUAAGACCACUGCUGGAAAGAAGCUUCAACAACAUCCUAGCAGUCUUGCAAAAAGUGUUUCCUCAUGCUGAAAUUAGCCAGAGUGACAAAAAAGAAGAUAUAGAAACUUUAAUUUUAGAGGAUAGUGAAGAUGAAAAUGCUUUAUCAAUUUUUGAGACCAAUUGUCACUCAGGAUCACCAAAGAAACAGUCAUCAUCUGCUGCUAUACAUAAACCCUACCUUCAUUUUACAAUGUCACCAUAUCAUCAGCCAACCUCUUACAGGCCACGCUUAUUGCUCUCUGGAGAACGGGGCUCAGGUCAAACUUCUCACCUUGCUCCAGCACUUUUGCACACUCUAGAAAGAUUCUCUGUGCAUAGACUAGAUCUCCCAGCACUUUAUUCAGUUAGUGCCAAAACACCUGAGGAAUCAUGUGCACAGACAAAAUUACUGCAGGUUGUAUGCAAGUAAAAGAAUUACUCAGUACCAUUUAAAAUAAAUACAAAUGAUUUAGUAGAAAAAUAUAAAUCAACAAAAUUGACCCCAGAGAAGAGAGAAUCUAAACAAUCACUGUGGAAGAAGAAAUUCAGCAAGUAUCUUAAAACCACUAAACAUAGAUGGUUUCACAGCCCAAAAUAAACUCUACAUGGGCAGUGGAACUAUAAAAGUACUGGAAAAAUUCACAAGAACUUUGGAAAAAAAUAAUCCUUGGAUUUCCAAGAUCCAGGAUAGGAGGGUACGUGUUUGCAGAAAAGGUCAAAAUUUGAGAGUCCUGAAGGAGUUGUACUGUACAACUGUUCUGGAUUGGUGGAUAUGCAAAUAUUAAGGAAGGGAAGGAGCAAAUAUUACUUUUGAUAUUUUUCGUGAAGCUCGAAGAACAGUACCUAGUAUUGUUUACAUGCCUCACAUUGGGGAUUGGUGGGAAGCUGUCAGUGAAACUGUGAGAGCAACUUUUCUGACAUUGCUACAAGAUAUACCAUCAUUUUCACCUAUAUUUUUAUUGUCUACCUCUGAAACCAUGUACAGUGAACUGCCUGAAGAGGUUAAAUGUAUCUUUAGAAUACAGUAUGAAGAGGUCUUGUAUAUUCAAAGGCCUAUUGAAGAAGACAGAAGAAAAUUUUUUCAAGAAUUGAUUCUCAAUCAGGCAUCAAUGGCUCCACCACGAAGGAAACAUGCUGCUCUUUGUGCUAUGGAAGUGCUUCCUCUUGCACUACCUUCUCCACCUCGUCAAUUAUCAGAAUCAGAAAAAAGUCGAAUGGAGGACCAGGAGGAAAAUACUUUAAGAGAGUUGCGGUUGUUUCUCAGGGAUGUAACCAAGAGGCUGGCCACAGAUAAACGCUUUAACAUCUUCAGCAAACCGGUGGAUAUUGAAGAGGUUUCAGAUUAUCUUGAAGUAAUCAAGGAACCAAUGGACUUAUCAACAGUAAUAACUAAAAUUGAUAAACAUAAUUACCUGACUGCAAAGGAUUUCCUGAAAGAUAUUGACCUCAUCUGUAGCAAUGCUUUAGAGUAUAAUCCAGAUAAGGACCCAGGAGAUAAAAUAAUUAGGCACAGGGCUUGUACCCUGAAGGACACUGCACAUGCUAUCAUUGCAGCUGAAUUAGAUCCAGAAUUUAAUAAACUUUGUGAGGAAAUUAAGGAAGCAAGAAUAAAAAGAGGCUUAUCAGUAACAUCAGAACAAAUAAAUCCUCAUAGUACUGGAGCUCGGAAGACAGAAACUAGAGUCGAAGAGGCAUUUCGGCACAAACAAAGAAAUCCAAUGGAUGUGUGGCACAACUCUGCAAAUAAAUGUGCAUUUCGGGUUCGGAGAAAAUCAAGGCGGAGAUCACAGUGGGGUAAAGGAAUUAUUAAGAAAAGGAAAGUUAAUAAUUUAAAAAAAGAUGAAGAAGACACCAAAUUUGCAGACUAUGAGAACCAUACGGAGGACAGGAAAUUAUUAGAGAAUGGAGAGUUUGAGGUAAGCACUGACUGCCAUGAGGAAAAUGGAGAAGAGACUGGAGACUUAUCUAUGACCAAUGACGAAUCAUCCUGUGACAUCAUGGACUUGGACCAGGGGCAGAGGCUUAACAGUGGAGCAGGCACAAAAGAGAACUUUGCAUCUACUGAGGAGGAAAGUUCAAAUGAAUCUCUACUGGUCAACAGCAGCAGUUCCUUAAACCCGGAGCAGACCUCCAGGAAAGAGACUUUCCUUAAAGGAAAUUGUCUAAAUGGUGAGGCUUCCACUGACAGUUUUGAAGGAAUACCAGUUCUGGAAUGUCAGAAUGGCAAGCUUGAAGUAGUUUCUUUCUGUGAUAGUGGAGAUAAAUGUAGUUCUGAACAAAAGAUUCUUCUGGAGGACCAGUCAAAAGAAAAACCAGAAACUUCGACUGAAAAUCAUGGAGAUGAUCUUGAGAAACUAGAGGCACUGGAAUGUAGCAAUAAUGAGAAGUUAGAACCUGGCCCUGAUGUGGAGGUUAAAGAUGCAGAACUGGAUAAAGAAGGUGCUUCUAAAGUAAAGAAAUACCGUAAAUUAAUUUUAGAGCAGGCAAAAACGACAAGCCUGGAACUGGUUCCAGAAGAGCCAUCUGAGCCUGUGCCUCCUCUUAUAGUUGAUCGUGAGAGAUUGAAGAAAUUGCUUGAUUUGUUGGUGGAUAAAAGCAACAAUCUGGCAGUUGAUCAGCUUGAGAGAUUAUAUUCUCUUCUUAGUCAGUGUAUCUACCGUCAUCGUAAAGAUUAUGACAAAUCACAACUUGUAGAGGAGAUGGAAAGAACAGUUCAUAUGUUUGAGACAUUCCUAUGAACUUUUCAAGAUGAGUGGUUUAUCCUCUCCAAUCUGCUCCUCACAGAGCAGUCUUCUGAGCCAUUCAAUUUCAAAUUGCACCAAUUAUGUGCAGAGCCUUGGUGUAAAGUGCUCUCUCACUCAUUCUUUCUCUCUGUUGAAUUUGGUGCUAUUGUCUCAGGUACCUGAAACCAACCAGCCUACAAGAACCAAACAGAACUUCAGAAACAUGUUGUAUUUUCCACAAAUAAAAAAUACAACCCC
This 3765-nucleotide small RNA is filed under the name Pan troglodytes (chimpanzee). RNAcentral's name for it is "processed transcript". Lineage: Eukaryota; Metazoa; Chordata; Mammalia; Primates; Hominidae. The record is from RNAcentral.